UUCUACAAGCCCAGGAGAGAUGCGUCAGAAGGAAUCAAGCCUACCAACAUGUUGAUCUUAGACUUCCGGCCUCCAGAGCUGCAAGGGAAUAAAUUUCUGUUGGUUAAGCCCCCCAGUCUGUGGUAUGUCGUUAUGGCAGCUGGAGAAGAGCAAUAGACACAGAGAUGAUUUAAUAGCCAUCUUAUUAGAGACACCUCGGGAAAUUUCAGAUCACCCACUCAGAGAACUGGAGCUGAUCGAGGGGACCGUCUUCCGAGUCUUCUGAGUCCCUCCUCCUUGGGAGGACUUCUCCUUUGUGCUCUUGUAUUUAAUCGUCCUAUUAACCCUGUGAAUUUGGGAUUACAAAUUCCAAUUUAUUGACGAGGAAACCGAAGCCCGGAGGCUUAUGUGACUUGACCCAAGCCACCCUGCUAAUUUCAGCAGAACCAGGAGUUCUAGAGGUUGAGUUGCGUAAAUGCUCUGCUUGGGACCAGCCCGGCCAACAUAACUUGAGGCUUGCCACCAGCUGCCAAGGUGACCUGCUGGAAGAGCAAUUUGGAAAAAAUAAAGAAGGUGAGGCACAAAGAAGAAUUUCAAAGCCUUUCCCUAAUCAGGACGAAUGGCUGCGAGCCUGAGGUGUGCGCAGAUAGCCUGCCACAUCUCAGAACGCAGCUCUUGCCACAAGCCAAUGCCUCGCUGGCUCUGAAAUUUAUGCUGGAAUUUAGACAGAGAACACAAAUCAUCGUAAUCUCCCGAUGAAAGAUCACUGUCUCUGCAAAUGCAUUACCUGCUUGGAAAGCGACAUGUUAAAAAAUACCGAUAAUAUAUGGGCACAGGGAGAGCGAUUUCCAUGCCUGGGCUCCUCCAGCUAAAAUACGCACACCUGCACAAGAGGCGGCAGAUGACAAAGUAAGUCACCGGGGCCCAGGAGCAGCUUCUGUGUCGAGCUGUGGCUCUGACACUCCAAACAAAAGACCCUGCAAGCCUAUGGAGCAGUCUCCCCCCACCACCUCCAACAUGGGGCGCCUUGGAUGCCGGAGGCCCGAGUGGGGGGCGUGUGAUUCCAUCCUUCCCACCCCCAGUCAGGAUGCCCUUCGUCUUAUCUGCAGGAGAGAGACGUGGGAGGAGGAACUGGAGCAACUGAUGGGCCUCAGAGCUGGAGGAAGCUUCCAGAAUGAGUUAGAGGGACCACCCCGUUCACUUCCCUCACUCUCACCCCUCCCAAGUGCUUGAAAUGAAAAAGAGCCUAAGGAGUACCGUCCGCGGAGAGGCCAGCUUGGAAGAACCUGUGUUUGUGGCAAAGGCGGAUGGUGGUCAGAAGACGGCCUCGUGGGGUCUCUGCCAGGCCUGUUUGGAGGACCGGGCGGCUGAGGGACUGGAGUGCAGGGCUGCCGGAUCCGUGUCUGCUGGAUCGGUCUGGCCUCUCCAAGUGCGGUUCGGCCUCGCGAAGCUGUGCAACAGGUCUGGUCCCAUUUCAUCUGGCUUUUUCCUCCCGUGGAAUGAUAAGCUCUUCAAACAGACAUUCCUUCCUUGUGCCCGUAAGACAAGGGAAUGGUAAACACAAGAUUCAGGAUGAUGGUUGGUAACCAGGAUGAUGAGAUGUGAGGUCACCAGAUGGUUUGCUGUAGAUUGUUUGCUUUUGUUUUGGUCAGUGGGAUUAUGAGUGCUCAUGACAUUGCAAAAAAAUUACUUAACCUAAAGAAAUAAAUAAGUAAAUAAGCCACCCUAUAUCUGAGCAAUGAUGACAGUGAGUCAUUAAGUGAAGAUUAUGAUUGAUACAAUUCUGCUUCUCUGAGAUUAGAAAAAAAAAAGUCAUGUACUUGGGGGAGGGGAUGAGAAAAAGCCACAUGCCUGAGAGAGGAGUGUGUGAGGUAAGGGAUGGGGCUCAGGUGAGAGGUAGGGGAGAGAGCUAUGUAGGAUCUCAUAGGGCCUGUUAAUGACUUGGAUUUAACGGGGUAGUAUGAUGACAUGGUCUUUAUAUUUCAAAGGUCUCAUUCUGGCUGCAUCGUGGGUAUUUUAUUAGUGGUGGUCAGAGAGAAUAUGGGGAAGGCUGGUUGGGAGGCUGUAUCGACUGUAGGUAAGAGGUGAUGGUAGCAUGGAUUAAGAUGAGAUAAUGAGAGAAGCAGGUGAAUUUAAAUAACAGUAAGUAAAAACUGAUAAUUUUAGAUAGAAUAUGGGGCAUGAGAGUCAAUGAUGAUGCCUCCAUUUUAUUUGUGAAGGAGGUGGUUGGUGGGCUAUUUACUGAGAAGAAAGUGAGUUUAGUUUUGACUAUGUUGGAUUUGGAUGCUUUUGAGAUAUGCCAGUGGGCAGCUGGAUAUUGGGCUCCAUAACUUCCAUGGGAUCUGAGUUAGCUGAGGAUGUACAAGGGGGUCAUGGAUAUGUGGGUGGGGAUUAAAAUUGUGGAAGUUGAUAAGAUUAUCUAGAAAGAAACAGUGUAGUGAGAAGAAAGCUGUUGUAAAGACAAAAUUUAAGUAGACAAUUAAAUUAAAGCAGGCCACACAUAUCCUAUGAUGAAAGUGUAUCAUGAAUCAAAGAUUAUGAUUAAUCUAGUUUAAAAAAAUCAGGGUCUAAGAAACAAAACAUAUGAAUAUAUGGGAGGGGAGAAAAAAGAGAGAAUGAAACAAACCAUAAGAUACUCUUUACCAUAGAGAACAAACUGAGGGUUGAUGGAGGGAUUGGGUGGGGGUUGGGCGAGAUGGGUGAUGAAUGACAGGUAUCAAGGAGGGUACUUGUCAUGAUGAGCACUGGGUAUUGUAUGUAAAUGAUGAAUCACUGAAUUCUAUUCCUGAAGCCAAUAUUGCAUUGUAUGUUAACUAACUAGAAUUUAAAUAAAAAAUUGAAAAAAAAAUCAAGGUCUGGCAUUUGGAGAGAUCUUGACUUUUCCAGGAGGGAAAGAAAGCCAGUCGGCCUAGGGUACAGAGGGGUGUGGGUGGUGGGAGGUGAGGUGGGCUGCGGAAGGAGAUAGGGGAUAGAUCAUCCAGCAUGUCAUAGAGCAUGUUCAGGAUUUGGUCUUUAUUCUGGAAAUAUUAAGAAAGAUUUAAAGCUUUAAAAUUUUUGUUUCAACUUAACGUUUUUCAUUAUUUAUGUUUGCUUUUAAAUCAACCUUAUUAAGGUAUAUUAUAAUUUACAUACCAUAACAUUUUGUAUUUUAUUAUUUAUUUAUUUGCACCCAUUUUACAUGUAGAUUUCACAGGUAUAUAUUCCCAUGUAACCACUACUGCAAUCAAGAUAUAGAACAUUUCCAUCACUGUCUACCCUGCCGAUUUCUCUUGUGCACCAUUUGGAAUCACGGAUGCCCUUCCCCCAUGCUAACCCCAGGCUUUGCUAUUAUGUAGAAAGUUGCUAUUAAUAUUCAUGUAUGUCUUCACGUGAACACAUGCUUUCAUUUAUCUUGGAUACAUAUCUACGACUGACAUUUCUGGGUGCUAAGGUAAAUGUAAACUUUACAAGGAACUGCCAAGAGUUUGCCAAAGUAGUUACAUCGUUUUCCGCUUCCAUCAGCAACCUAUGAGAUUUUCAGUUGCCACAUGUCUUUGCCAAUACUUGAUAUUGUCCAUCUUCUGAAUUUUAGCCUUUCUAUUUGGUAUGACAUGGCAUAGGUCAACGGUUUUACUUUGUAUAGCUCUGAUGACUAAUACUGUUAGGUGUCUUCUGGGAAGUGUCUGCUCAACUAUUCCGUCCAUUAUUUAUUUCAUUGACGUCUCUGUCUUUUACUGAGUCAUAGAAGUUCCAUAUGUAUUCUGCACAAGAGUCUUCUGUCAUGUAUAUCUUUAGUUUUCUGCCAAUCUGUGGAUAGUAUCUUUUCGAUUUUCAAACUUUUUAACAGGGUUCACUUAAGAACAGAAAUUUGUAAAUUUGAUGAAAUUCGAUUAAGGUAUUUUCCUAGAAGUUUUGUAGUUUCAGCUUUUACACUUAGCUUUAUGACACAUGUUGAGUUAAUAUUUGUGAGUGGUGUGAGGUCAGGGUUGAGGUUCAUUAAAAAAAAAAAAAGGAUAUUUAGUUGUUCUAGCACCACUGUUGAGAAAACUAUCCUUUCCCACUCAAUUAUAUUUCUAUCUGUGUCAAAAAUUAAUUAGCCAUAUAUGGAUGGAUCUAUUUCUGCAUUCUUUAUUCUGUACCAGUGAUCCAUAUAUAUAGAAAUAUGAUAGAUAACACUGUUUAGAUUACUGUGGCUUUAUAAGUCUUGAAAUCAGUUAGUGUAAG
Leopardus geoffroyi (Geoffroy's cat) is the source of this 4182-nucleotide long non-coding RNA. RefSeq lists it as uncharacterized. NCBI's taxonomy places the organism in Eukaryota, Metazoa, Chordata, Mammalia, Carnivora, Felidae. The record is from RefSeq and is a predicted model, not a curated record. The transcript is spliced from 5 exons.